Molecule: ribosomal RNA, 253 nt
Filed under: uncultured bacterium
Lineage: Bacteria
Description: partial 16S ribosomal RNA
Rfam family: Bacterial small subunit ribosomal RNA
Source: RNAcentral
CACGUAGGGCGCGAGCGUUGUCCGGAUUUAUUGGGCGUAAAGAGCGUGUAGGCGGUCUGGUAGGUCCGUUGUGAAAACUCGAGGCUCAACCUCGAGACGCCGAUGGAAACCCUCAGACUAGAGUCCGGAAGAGGAGAGUGGAAUUCCUGGUGUAGCGGUGAAAUGCGCAGAUAUCAGGAAGAACACCCGUGGCUAAGGCGGCUCUCUAGUACGUGACUGACGCUGAGACGCGAAAGCGUGGGGAGCGAACAGG